This 246-nucleotide ribosomal RNA is filed under the name uncultured bacterium. Its description in RNAcentral is "partial 16S ribosomal RNA". It matches the Rfam family "Bacterial small subunit ribosomal RNA", at positions 118 to 348 of the family's 1533-position model. The record is from RNAcentral.
UGGGUAACCUGCCUCAAAGAGGGGAAUAGCCUCCCGAAAGGGAGAUUAAUACCGCAUAAUAUGUUUAAGUCGCAUGACUUUAACAUCAAAGGUAUUUUUCUUUUAAGAAAUUCCACUUUGAGAUGGACCCGCGGCGCAUUAGCUAGUUGGUGAGGUAACGGCUCACCAAGGCAACGAUGCGUAGCCGACCUGAGAGGGUGAUCGGCCACAUUGGAACUGAGACACGGUCCAGACUCCGUAGGGACG